GACAGAGGUGCCAAGCGUUAGGCGGAAUCACUGGGCGUAAAGCGCACGUAGGCGGCUUUCUAAGUCAGGGGUGAAAUCCUGGAGCUCAACUCCAGAACUGCCUUUGAUACUGGAGAGCUUGAGUCCGGAAGAGGUGAGUGGAACUCCGAGUGUAGAGGUGAAAUUCGUAGAUAUUCGGAAGAACACCAGUGGCGAAGGCGGCUCACUGGUCCGGUACUGACGCUGAUGUGCGAAAGCGUGGGGAGCAAACAGG
RNAcentral lists this ribosomal RNA (253 nucleotides) under uncultured bacterium. RNAcentral's name for it is "partial 16S ribosomal RNA". It matches the Rfam family "Bacterial small subunit ribosomal RNA", at positions 524 to 776 of the family's 1533-position model. The record is from RNAcentral.